GGGCAGUGGAUGGGACUGGGCGCCACGGAGCAGGGGCAGUGCUCAUUAGGGAGGUGCUGACUGCGCAGGAGCCCGUGGGCGGGGAUGGGGAGGCUCAGGCAUGGCGGGCUGCAGGUCUCGGGGAGGCAGCUAAGGCCCUGUGAGAAAUCGAGCACAGCAGCUGGUGGCCCAGGUGCUAAGCCCCUCACUGCCCGGCGCCAGUCGCUCCGAGUGCGGGGGCUCGCCAAGCCCACGCCCACCUGGAACUCGUGCUGGCGCAGAAGCGUGGCGCGCAGCCGCAGUUCCCGCCCGUGCCUCUCCUUCCACACCGCCCAGCAAGCUGAGGGAGCCGGCCUUGGCCAGCCCAGAAAGGGGCUCCCACAGUGCAGCAGCGGGCUGAAGGGCUCCUCAAGCGUGACCAGAGUGGGCGUCAAGGCCGAGGAGGUGCCGAGAGUGAGCAAGGGCUGCUAGCACGCUGUCACCUCUCAAGGGGUCUUAUCUGGCUUGCCAAAACAUCAAAGACCUAGACGUUUUUGCCAGAACGCAGGAAGUUAAAGUGGACCCUGAUAAACCACUGGAAGGCGUUCGGCUGCUGGCGC
Molecule: small RNA, 578 nt
Filed under: Pongo abelii (Sumatran orangutan)
Lineage: Eukaryota; Metazoa; Chordata; Mammalia; Primates; Hominidae
Description: processed transcript
Source: RNAcentral